AGAGUUUGAUCCUGGCUCAGGAUGAACGCUGGCGGCGUGCCUAAUACAUGCAAGUCGAGCGAACGGACGAGAAGCUUGCUUCUCUGAUGUUAGCGGCGGACGGGUGAGUAACACGUGGAUAACCUACCUAUAAGACUGGGAUAACUUCGGGAAACCGGAGCUAAUACCGGAUAAUAUUUUGAACCGCAUGGUUCAAAAGUGAAAGACGGUCUUGCUGUCACUUAUAGAUGGAUCCGCGCUGCAUUAGCUAGUUGGUAAGGUAACGGCUUACCAAGGCAACGAUGCAUAGCCGACCUGAGAGGGUGAUCGGCCACACUGGAACUGAGACACGGUCCAGACUCCUACGGGAGGCAGCAGUAGGGAAUCUUCCGCAAUGGGCGAAAGCCUGACGGAGCAACGCCGCGUGAGUGAUGAAGGUCUUCGGAUCGUAAAACUCUGUUAUUAGGGAAGAACAUAUGUGUAAGUAACUGUGCACAUCUUGACGGUACCUAAUCAGAAAGCCACGGCUAACUACGUGCCAGCAGCCGCGGUAAUACGUAGGUGGCAAGCGUUAUCCGGAAUUAUUGGGCGUAAAGCGCGCGUAGGCGGUUUUUUAAGUCUGAUGUGAAAGCCCACGGCUCAACCGUGGAGGGUCAUUGGAAACUGGAAAACUUGAGUGCAGAAGAGGAAAGUGGAAUUCCAUGUGUAGCGGUGAAAUGCGCAGAGAUAUGGAGGAACACCAGUGGCGAAGGCGACUUUCUGGUCUGUAACUGACGCUGAUGUGCGAAAGCGUGGGGAUCAAACAGGAUUAGAUACCCUGGUAGUCCACGCCGUAAACGAUGAGUGCUAAGUGUUAGGGGGUUUCCGCCCCUUAGUGCUGCAGCUAACGCAUUAAGCACUCCGCCUGGGGAGUACGACCGCAAGGUUGAAACUCAAAGGAAUUGACGGGGACCCGCACAAGCGGUGGAGCAUG
This 952-nucleotide ribosomal RNA is filed under the name Staphylococcus aureus T67319. RNAcentral's name for it is "bacterial SSU rRNA". It matches the Rfam family "Bacterial small subunit ribosomal RNA", at positions 8 to 941 of the family's 1533-position model. The record is from RNAcentral. Lineage: Bacteria; Bacillati; Bacillota; Bacilli; Caryophanales; Staphylococcaceae.